GCCAGCAAGCGGGACAGUCCCCAGACAGAAAUGUUUCUCUCUCCGUGAAAGGCGGAUCCCAUUAAGAGAGGGUCAUCUGGGACUCAUGGGUGGGAUUCUUGCUGCCCUUCCCGCCUGACGCCCCUCAAAACACAAACAGAGGGACACAGGUUAAAAGCAGAGCAAACACGGGAUGGAGUCCAAGUGUCUAGCUGGAAACAUCUGGAAACAAGACAGGAGCCCUACAGAGACGCGAACACCCAGAAGAGCAAGCCGCCUUGCAGAGAGUGAAAGAGCCAGAGGCCUCCGAGGUGGAGGGGCCGGCAGGGUAUAGGAGGGGAGAUGUCCUGUCCGUGACUGAAACUGUCGUCUGGGGCACGGGAAAGGGUCAUGGCUGUAGAGGUCAUCUACAAGGAGGUGUUAAUGAAGCCAUGAGAAUGGACGAGCUCAGAGAAAGGCAAAUGACAGGAAUCAGUGGAACGCAAAGGAAGCAGUAACCUGGGGACACACAAGAGCAGCCACCCAUGAACUCAGCCCAGCCUCCUCUCCUGUAAUAUUACGAACUGUGUCAUUGAGCCCACAGGGUUGUAAAACUGUCAGGUCCACCUGGUUGAACGAAGUCUACGAUGCCCACGCCAUUCCUCAGUGCUCUUCGGAAUCGUUCUGGGUGGCGCAUUAUUAAGGGGGAAGAAAAAGAUGCCAGCAGUAGCUAACACGAUCAGUGGAGGAGUGCCCUGUAUAUGGACCUAUCACCCAAGACAGCAAUGAGUCAAGCCAAGGGAAACUGAGAGCAGCUCCCCACACCAGCUCAGAAGACCCUCCCCCAUCCAGCACCUCCUCAAGGUGCUCCUAGCUUCAUCACAGAAAGGUAGCAGUCACUCCCCGAGAAGACAGGAGCAGCAAAUAACCACCUGACAAUUUGAGUGUCCUCCAGUGUUUCACAGGCACCAUCAGGAACUCCAGGCAAGCAUGCGUACCAUUCUCUAGACGGCUCCCUUCACUUCCCAAGAAAGGGAACCAGGUCUUCCUAAUUGAUUUAGGUGCCUGGGAUAACAAAGUAUUUCACCAGAAGGGACAUAAGCAAUGCUAUUUGAUAAGAGUAAGAAUAAGGAAGAAGCAGCUAUCUUAAAGAAAAAGUGUGCUCUACUCACACUAAAGUAUCAGACCAAUGCACAACAUACUGCAAAACUGGAAUACAAUACGGUCAAACACAAUGUUCAAAUAUUAAACUGUUCAAGCACAUGAAGAUCAUCUUCUGAAAGACAAGCUGGGCUCUUAGUUUGUAGCUACCUUUGUGUAACUUUAAAAAUUGCUGUCCCUCAACAAAGUCUGACACUGAUCUUGAUACUUGUUGGGAAGUUCACUGAGGCAAUGACAGCUCAUAGAGAUAUAUAGUCAGCUUUAGAGAGAUAUCCUCCCAGUGCUCAUCUUCAGAAUUCAUCCGAGGACUGGGCAUCAUCUUCGUCCCUCACUUCUCGGUAUCUCCCUGAAGACUCCCCUUCUGGAUUGUAGCUCUGCAUUUUAAUAUUCAGUCUCUCGGCCAGUUUCUGUGCUGCGAGCUUUGCCUGCAUCUCCUUCAAAACAAAGAACAAAGCCCAAGUUACACCGUACAGCUCCCCUUACAAUAUUCACUAAGACCCGGGAUAAACGAGCAUAAUUCCUACUGUCUCUGGCAACACAGAAAAUUGACAGCUGUGUCCUGUUAGACACGGGGCGAUGUAUCUGAGAGCUGUCCGCUUGCUGCAGUUGCUAGUGACUUCCAUUAGCAAGCAAUGCUGCAAUCGAACAGCUUACCUCUGCACAAGAAACUGGGAAAUCAGCUGAGCACUACGGUAGCUAUAAACAGACACACUAAGUGUUGUAUACACACAGAACCACCUGUCUGUAUUAGAAAUCACCAAUGUGCUGCCAAUGUCUCCAACAGACAAGACUUCCUUCUCUAGACUAAAUCAUAUUUUCUAAGUUUGAGGAGUACACUUCAAUGGUACAAAAAGAGCCAAGACAUUAAUGCUGCAUGCUGACUGCUCCUCAGUAAGUAAAGUCUCAGAAAUUAAUACUCAAAAAGGUCCAAGUAAAUUUCAGAGUGGCAGUGGACUUUUCCACACAUAAAGAUCACCCAACUGCUGGUAGACUUCAGGGUUCAUCUCUGAUUCACCCAACCCCAACCCCCAUACAUUCCUCAACUUCAGCAGCUCCUUACCUCAGCCCAUGAACAUUAUGGGUAGGCAUAAUUGGUAGUUACUAUUACUAUUCUGUCAAGGCAACCCAUUUCAGAGGGCUUAGCCUAAAAAUGUCUCAAGACAGGUAUUUAAAAACCCCCUAGAGACAAUUCAAAGGUCACUUCUCCAGCACAGCAGUUGGAUCUGAUGCUAAUUCUAAUGAACUACGAGGAAGAAACACAAAGGGCCAUAAAGAUACCAGUCCAUGCCAGCUGAACGCUUAGGAAAAGCCAAGCAGAGUUAAAGCUAGUUUGACUUUAGCAGAUGCAGGCACCUGACUAAAAUCCAACUAAGCAAUUCAGGAGAGAGGGGAUGUCCUUUUCCCAGAAACUCAUAAUGUUACAAUCUAACCAUAACUAAUCUCCAUGCUUACUUCUCCCAUCCUGCUAAUAUGAACACAAACUUUAACAAUAUUAUACAUUUUAUUUAUAGACAAGGUCUCACCGUCUAUUAGCUGUGCAGACCAGGCUAGCCUCAAACUCAGAGAUCUGACUGCCUUUACCUCUCAACUGCUGGAAUUAAAGUGGUAUGAUUAAAGGUGUGUGCCACCAAUACCUUAAUAUCCAUUUUUAAAAAUUCUAUGCAAAACACAGUGCUAUAUACAACUGAUUUAGACCCAAAGUAGAAAGGCCUCUAUUCACAAGGGUCAUGAGUAAUGGCUUCAAGCACCCCACCAGAGGCUGGCAAGCCAGCAUGAUCUCCUGUCCUUCUGGGCUGGCCCCUGCACUGCAGGAGAUGGAACUGGGAAGCGUCCUCCUAAGCAGGUCCCUUACACUGAGAAGCUGCCACAUGGGAGAGAGACAUACAUAUGUUGUCCUAGCAGCAGCAGACAGCUGAUCCAUGUCACUCCAAUCCUCGCCCUGAUCUAUUGGGGAAUUAUUACUGAGGUCCCUACAGUUCUAGCAACUUUGUGACUGGAAACUGGUGCACAUCUCUAAAACUUGACUCUUCUAGUCAGCCAAAGUUAAUUCUGACUCCCGAAGCAGCAGC
Long non-coding RNA from Peromyscus eremicus (cactus mouse), 3188 nucleotides. RefSeq lists it as uncharacterized. The record is from RefSeq and is a predicted model, not a curated record. Lineage: Eukaryota; Metazoa; Chordata; Mammalia; Rodentia; Cricetidae. The transcript is spliced from 5 exons.